ACGCUCGACACCUACGGGAUGCAGCAGUGGGGAAUAUUGCACAAUGGGGGAAACCCUGAUGCAGCGACGCCGCGUGAGCGAAGAAGUAUCUCGGUAUGUAAAGCUCUAUCAGCAGGGAAGAAAAUGACGGUACCUGACUAAGAAGCCCCGGCUAACUACGUGCCAGCAGCCGGGUAAUCUGAGCGGGCUGGCAAGGC
Molecule: ribosomal RNA, 197 nt
Filed under: uncultured bacterium
Lineage: Bacteria
Description: partial 16S ribosomal RNA
Rfam family: Bacterial small subunit ribosomal RNA
Source: RNAcentral